RNAcentral lists this ribosomal RNA (428 nucleotides) under Bacteroidota bacterium. RNAcentral's name for it is "Bacteroidetes bacterium partial 16S ribosomal RNA". It matches the Rfam family "Bacterial small subunit ribosomal RNA", at positions 355 to 776 of the family's 1533-position model. The record is from RNAcentral. Lineage: Bacteria; Pseudomonadati; Bacteroidota.
UAGGGAAUCUUCCGCAAUGGACGCAAGUCUGACGGAGCAACGCCGCGUGAGUGAAGAAGGAUUUCGGUUCGUAAAACUCUGUUGUUAGAGAAGAACAGCGCAUAGAGUAACUGUUAUGCGUGUGACGGUAUCUAACCAGAAAGCCACGGCUAACUACGUGCCAGCAGCCGCGGUAAUACGUAGGUGGCAAGCGUUGUCCGGAUUUAUUGGGCGUAAAGCGAGCGCAGGCGGUCAAUUAAGUCUGAUGUGAAAGGCAGUGGCUCAACCAUUGUAGGCUUUGGAAACUGUUUAACGUGAGUGCAGAAGGGGAGAGUGGAAUUCCAUGUGUAGCGAUGAAAUGCGUAGAUAUAUGGAGGAACACCGGUGGCGAAAGCGGCUCCCUGGUCUGUAACUGACGCUGAGGCUCGAAAGCGUGGGGAGCGAACAGG